UGAGGAAUAUUGGUCAAUGGGCGGAAGCCUGAACCAGCCAAGUCGCGUGAGGGAAGAAUGGUCUAUGGCCUGUAAACCUCUUUUGAAAGGGAAGAAUAAGUGGCACGUGUGCCAUGAUGCCAGUACCUUUCGAAUAAGCAUCGGCUAACUCCGUGCCAGCAGCCGCGGUAACACGGGGGAUGCGAGCGUUAUCCGGAUUUAUUGGGUUUAAAGGGCGCGUAGGCGGGAUGCCAAGUCAGCGGUAAAAGACUGCAGCUAAAUUGUAGCACGCCGUUGAAACUGGUGACCUAGAGAGAAGUCGAGGGAGGCGGAACAAGUGAAGUAGCGGUGAAAUGCUUAGAUAUCACGCAGAACUCCGAUUGCGAAGGCAGCAUACCGGCGCCCGACUGACGCUGAGGCACGAAAGCGUGGGGCAUCGAACAGGAUUAGAUACC
RNAcentral lists this ribosomal RNA (434 nucleotides) under uncultured bacterium. Its description in RNAcentral is "bacterial SSU rRNA". It matches the Rfam family "Bacterial small subunit ribosomal RNA", at positions 355 to 786 of the family's 1533-position model. The record is from RNAcentral.